GACGAACGCUGGCGGCGUGCUUAACACAUGCAAGUCGAACGGUAGGCCCUUUCGGGGGUACACGAGUGGCGAACGGGUGAGUAACACGUGGGUGAUCUGCCCUGCACUUUGGGAUAAGCCUGGGAAACUGGGUCUAAUACCGGAUAGGACUACGCGAUGCAUGUCGUGUGGUGGAAAGCUUUUGCGGUGUGGGAUGGGCCCGCGGCCUAUCAGCUUGUUGGUGGGGUGAUGGCCUACCAAGGCGACGACGGGUAGCCGGCCUGAGAGGGUGUCCGGCCACACUGGGACUGAGAUACGGCCCAGACUCCUACGGGAGGCAGCAGUGGGGAAUAUUGCACAAUGGGCGCAAGCCUGAUGCAGCGACGCCGCGUGGGGGAUGACGGCCUUCGGGUUGUAAACCCCUUUCAGCACAGACGAAGCGUAAGUGACGGUAUGUGCAGAAGAAGCACCGGCCAACUACGUG
RNAcentral lists this ribosomal RNA (463 nucleotides) under uncultured bacterium. RNAcentral describes it as "partial 16S ribosomal RNA". It matches the Rfam family "Bacterial small subunit ribosomal RNA", at positions 28 to 507 of the family's 1533-position model. The record is from RNAcentral.